Molecule: long non-coding RNA, 403 nt
Filed under: Olea europaea (common olive)
Lineage: Eukaryota; Viridiplantae; Streptophyta; Magnoliopsida; Lamiales; Oleaceae
Description: long non-coding RNA (OEUR_LNC006952)
Source: RNAcentral
ACAGUUGUAGCUCACCUUGAAUUGACUGAAAUGUGCCGGAAGGGAUAUCAGAACCAAGUGCACCAACAAGUCUUCAGAUAAAUCCAACUUGAGUGCCUUUAGUUUUGAAGCAAUGUGAGACAUUUCCAUAAUGUACUCCUGAAUGUUUCCUUUCCUUUUAUACCUCAUUGAGACAAGAUUUGCCAAAAGUGUACUUGUUUCAGCCUUUUCAUUCUUGGUAAACCUCUUCUCAAGGUCCUCAAGGAAACCUUUAGCCGUAGUCACCUUAUCGGAUAUAGUGCCCCGGAAUGCUUCUGGAAUAGCACGCUUCAUGACCAUUAAGCUUAUGCGGUUCGAUCGUUCCCACUUUUCCAUCUCCCUCUUGUCAUCAGAGGUACUCUUAUCAAUAAGUGCAGUAGGUUGA